This 1138-nucleotide ribosomal RNA is filed under the name uncultured bacterium. Its description in RNAcentral is "bacterial SSU rRNA". It matches the Rfam family "Bacterial small subunit ribosomal RNA", at positions 353 to 1482 of the family's 1533-position model. The record is from RNAcentral.
AGUCGAGAAUCAUUCGCAAUGGGCGAAAGCCUGACGAUGCGACGCUGUGUGAGCGAUGAAGGCCUUCGGGUUGUAAAGCUCUUUCGCCUGGGAACAAGGAAUAAUGAUUAAUAAUCAUUAAACUUGAGCGUACCAGGUAAAGAAGCACCGGCUAACUACGUGCCAGCAGCUGCGGUAAUACGUAGGGUGCAAGCAUUAAUCGGAAUUAUUGGGCGUAAAGGGCGCGUAGGCGGAUAAUCAAGUCUUGUGUGAAAUUUCGGGGCUCAACCUCGAAGCGGCACAGGAAACUAGUUAUCUAGAGGGUAGACGGAGAGAAUGGAAUUCCACAAGUAGCGGUGAAAUGCGUAGAUAUGUGGAAGAACACCGGUGGCGAAGGCGAUUCUCUAGUUUACUCCUGACGCUGAGGCGCGAAAGCAAGGGGAUCAAACAGGAUUAGAUACCCUGGUAGUCCUUGCCUUAAACUAUGUAUACUUGGUGUAACUGGACUCAACCCUAGUUGUGCCGAAGCUAACGCGAUAAGUAUACCGCCUGGGGAGUACGCUCGCAAGGGUGAAACUCAAAAGAAUUGACGGGGACCCGCACAAGCAGUGGAGCAUGUGGUUUAAUUCGAUGCAACGCGAAGAACCUUACCCAGGUUUGACAUGCACUUGACCGCUUCAGAAAUGAAGCUUCUCUUCGGAGCAGGUGCACAGGUGCUGCAUGGCUGUCGUCAGCUCGUGCCGUGAGGUGUUUGGUUAAGUCCAGCAACGAGCGCAACCCUUAUCAUUAGUUGCCAACACGUAACGGUGGGAACUCUAAUGAGACUGCCCGGGUUAACCGGGAGGAAGGUGAGGAUGACGUCAAGUCCGCAUGGCCCUUAUAUCUGGGGCUACACACGUGCUACAAUGGCAUACACAAUGGGCAGCGAAAUCGCGAGAUGAAGCAAAUCCCGCAAAGUAUGUCCCAGUUCAGAUUGUAGUCUGCAACUCGACUACAUGAAGACGGAAUUGCUAGUAAUGGCGUGUCAGCAACAACGCCGUGAAUACGUUCCCGGGUCUUGUACACACCGCCCGUCACAUCAUGGGAGUUGGUUUUACCCGAAGUCGAUGACUUAACCGCAAGGAGAGAGUCGCCUAAGGUAAGGCCGAUGACUGGGAUG